UAACACAUGCAAGUCGAGCGGAAACGAGUUAUNUGACCCUUCGGGUGACGAUAACGGCGUCGAGCGGCGGACGGGUGAGUAAUGCCUGGGAAAUUGCCCUGAUGUGGGGGAUAACCAUUGGAAACGAUGGCUAAUACCGCAUAAUAGCUUCGGCUCAAAGAGGGGGACCUUCGGGCCUCUCGCGUCAGGAUAUGCCCAGGUGGGAUUAGCUAGUUGGUGAGGUAAGGGCUCACCAAGGCGACGAUCCCUAGCUGGUCUGAGAGGAUGAUCAGCCACACUGGAACUGAGACACGGUCCAGACUCCUACGGGAGGCAGCAGUGGGGAAUAUUGCACAAUGGGCGCAAGCCUGAUGCAGCCAUGCCGCGUGUAUGAAGAAGGCCUUCGGGUUGUAAAGUACUUUCAGCAGUGAGGAAGGUAGUAGUGUUAAUAGCGCUAUUAUUUGACGUUAGCUGCAGAAGAAGCACCGGCUAACUCCGUGCCAGCAGCCGCGGUAAUACGGAGGGUGCGAGCGUUAAUCGGAAUUACUGGGCGUAAAGCGCAUGCAGGUGGAUGAUUAAGUCAGAUGUGAAAGCCCGGGGCUCAACCUCGGAAUAGCAUUUGAAACUGGUCAUCUAGAGUACUGUAGAGGGGGGUAGAAUUUCAGGUGUAGCGGUGAAAUGCGUANAGAUCUGAAGGAAUACCGGUGGCGAAGGCGGCCCCCUGGACAGAUACUGACACUCAGAUGCGAAAGCGUGGGGAGCAAACAGGAUUAGAUACCCCUGNUAGUCCACGCCGUAAACGAUGUCUACUUGGAGGUUGUGGGCCUUGAGCCGUGGCUUUCGGAGCUAACGCGUUAAGUAGACCGCCUGGGGAGUACGGUCGCAAGAUUAAA
Molecule: ribosomal RNA, 872 nt
Filed under: Vibrio sp. Dec07-MA-7BB-6
Lineage: Bacteria; Pseudomonadati; Pseudomonadota; Gammaproteobacteria; Vibrionales; Vibrionaceae
Description: bacterial SSU rRNA
Rfam family: Bacterial small subunit ribosomal RNA
Source: RNAcentral